GCUCCCGUAGUUUAAUGGAUAGAAUUACGGAUUCCGGUUCCGUCGGUUGCGGUUCGAUUCCGCACGGGAGUA
This 72-nucleotide transfer RNA is filed under the name Candidatus Cryptobacteroides excrementipullorum. RNAcentral's name for it is "tRNA-Arg". It matches the Rfam family "tRNA". From Rfam's summary of the family: Transfer RNA (tRNA) molecules are approximately 80 nucleotides in length. Their secondary structure includes four short double-helical elements and three loops (D, anti-codon, and T loops). Lineage: Bacteria; Pseudomonadati; Bacteroidota; Bacteroidia; Bacteroidales. The record is from RNAcentral.